Molecule: unclassified non-coding RNA, 348 nt
Filed under: soil metagenome
Description: partial contains 5.8S ribosomal RNA, internal transcribed spacer 2, and large subunit ribosomal RNA
Rfam family: 5.8S ribosomal RNA (bases 1-120)
Source: RNAcentral
GAUGAAGAACGCAGCGAAUUGCGAUAAGUAAUGUGAAUUGCAGAAUUCAGUGAAUCAUCGAAUCUUUGAACGCACAUUGCGCCCGCUGGUAUUCCGGCGGGCAUGCCUGUUCGAGCGUCAUUUCAACCCUCAAGCCCCCGGGUUUGGUGUUGGGGAUCGGCUCUGCCCUUCUGGGCGGUGCCGCCCCCGAAAUACAUUGGCGGUCUCGCUGCAGCCUCCAUUGCGUAGUAGCUAACACCUCGCAACUGGAACGCGGCGCGGCCAUGCCGUAAAACCCCAACUUCUGAAUGUUGACCUCGGAUCAGGUAGGAAUACCCGCUGAACUUAAGCAUAUCAAUAAGCGGAGGA